RNAcentral lists this ribosomal RNA (905 nucleotides) under Staphylococcus aureus. RNAcentral's name for it is "bacterial SSU rRNA". It matches the Rfam family "Bacterial small subunit ribosomal RNA", at positions 33 to 919 of the family's 1533-position model. Lineage: Bacteria; Bacillati; Bacillota; Bacilli; Caryophanales; Staphylococcaceae. The record is from RNAcentral.
AAGGGGGAGGUGUACGUGAUACAUGCAGUCGAGCGAACGGACGAGAAGCUUGCUUCUCUGAUGUUAGCGGCGGACGGGUGAGUAACACGUGGAUAACCUACCUAUAAGACUGGGAUAACUUCGGGAAACCGGAGCUAAUACCGGAUAAUAUUUUGAACCGCAUGGUUCAAAAGUGAAAGACGGUCUUGCUGUCACUUAUAGAUGGAUCCGCGCUGCAUUAGCUAGUUGGUAAGGUAACGGCUUACCAAGGCAACGAUGCAUAGCCGACCUGAGAGGGUGAUCGGCCACACUGGAACUGAGACACGGUCCAGACUCCUACGGGAGGCAGCAGUAGGGAAUCUUCCGCAAUGGGCGAAAGCCUGACGGAGCAACGCCGCGUGAGUGAUGAAGGUCUUCGGAUCGUAAAACUCUGUUAUUAGGGAAGAACAUAUGUGUAAGUAACUGUGCACAUCUUGACGGUACCUAAUCAGAAAGCCACGGCUAACUACGUGCCAGCAGCCGCGGUAAUACGUAGGUGGCAAGCGUUAUCCGGAAUUAUUGGGCGUAAAGCGCGCGUAGGCGGUUUUUUAAGUCUGAUGUGAAAGCCCACGGCUCAACCGUGGAGGGUCAUUGGAAACUGGAAAACUUGAGUGCAGAAGAGGAAAGUGGAAUUCCAUGUGUAGCGGUGAAAUGCGCAGAGAUAUGGAGGAACACCAGUGGCGAAGGCGACUUUCUGGUCUGUAACUGACGCUGAUGUGCGAAAGCGUGGGGAUCAAACAGGAUUAGAUACCCUGGUAGUCCACGCCGUAAACGAUGAGUGCUAAGUGUUAGGGGGUUUCCGCCCCUUAGUGCUGCAGCUAACGCAUUAAGCACUCCGCCUGGGGAGUACGACCGCAAGGUUGAAACUCAGAAAAUUUUGACCGGAA